RNAcentral lists this ribosomal RNA (237 nucleotides) under uncultured bacterium. RNAcentral's name for it is "partial 16S ribosomal RNA". It matches the Rfam family "Bacterial small subunit ribosomal RNA", at positions 30 to 261 of the family's 1533-position model. The record is from RNAcentral.
AUUGAACGCUGGCGGCAGGCUUAACACAUGCAAGUCGAACGGUAACAGGGGUAGCUUGCUACUUUGCUGACGAGUGGCGGACGGGUGAGUAAGGUAUGGGAAUUUGCCGAAUGGAGGGGGACAACAGUUGGAAACGGCUGCUAAAUACCGCAUAACGUCGCGAGACCAAAGGGUAGGACUUUCGGGCCACCUGCCAUUUGAUAAGCCCAUAUGAGAUUAGCUAGUUGGUGUGGUAAG